Small nuclear RNA from Otolemur garnettii (small-eared galago), 104 nucleotides. Lineage: Eukaryota; Metazoa; Chordata; Mammalia; Primates; Galagidae. The record is from Ensembl.
GUGCUGGCUUCAGCAGCACAUGUACUAAAAUUAGGACGAUACAGAGAUUAGCAUGGCUCCUGCACAAGGAUGACAUGCAAGUUCAUGAAGUGUUCCAUAUUUUU